GGUAACAUUCAUUAAUUAUCAAGGAGUAUUAAUUAGGAAAUUUAUUAAAAAGGAAUUAAACAAUUCAAUGACAAUCAUGUACGCUUUGGACAUUUAAUAACGAUCUGUUUUGUGUACCAUUCAUUAAUCAUCAGGAAGUUAUUAAUACGACAAAUCCGAAACGAAUAUAUAACCUUUAGACAUUAAUAACAAUCCGUGUGCAUAUUAUAGACAUAUAUAGCCUGAAGCCAAUAAAUGACCAAGGUUACUAUGAAAUAACAUGUAUCCUUCAGGGUUAAUUGCAUAGUUUGACAAUUAACCACAGAUUAAUAUUACUCAAAAACCAGACGACUACAUAACCGGCCUACAGCUAUGGACCGUUUGUAUGAACCACUGGACUAUGUAUCUCUCAAUGGACGACACGGACACAAUUCGAACAC
RNAcentral lists this long non-coding RNA (419 nucleotides) under Mytilus galloprovincialis (Mediterranean mussel). Lineage: Eukaryota; Metazoa; Mollusca; Bivalvia; Mytilida; Mytilidae. The record is from RNAcentral.